UUCUAAAUAGUUUAAAAAGAACAAAAUUUUGAAGAAAUUUAGGUAAGGUUGUUACUUUUAGAAA
RNAcentral lists this transfer RNA (64 nucleotides) under Mycopsylla fici. Its description in RNAcentral is "tRNA-Phe". The record is from RNAcentral. Lineage: Eukaryota; Metazoa; Arthropoda; Insecta; Hemiptera; Carsidaridae.